GCCGGCGACUGGCGCACGGGUGAGUAACACGUAUGCAACCUGCCCUCUUCAGGGGGACAACCUUCCGAAAGGGAGGCUAAUCCCGCGUAUAUCUUUCGGAGGCAUCUCCGGAAGAGGAAAGCUUAUGCGGAAGAGGAUGGGCAUGCGGCGCAUUAGCUUGACGGCGGGGUAACGGCCCACCGUGGCGACGAUGCGUAGGGGUUCUGAGAGGAAGGUCCCCCACACUGGUACUGAGACACGGACCAGACUCC
Molecule: ribosomal RNA, 251 nt
Filed under: uncultured Porphyromonadaceae bacterium
Lineage: Bacteria; Pseudomonadati; Bacteroidota; Bacteroidia; Bacteroidales; Porphyromonadaceae
Description: partial 16S ribosomal RNA
Rfam family: Bacterial small subunit ribosomal RNA
Source: RNAcentral